RNAcentral lists this unclassified non-coding RNA (530 nucleotides) under Athalia rosae (coleseed sawfly). RNAcentral's name for it is "misc RNA ENSAEAG00005003619.1". The record is from RNAcentral. Lineage: Eukaryota; Metazoa; Arthropoda; Insecta; Hymenoptera; Athaliidae.
GGUCGUCUGCUGACUGGUGUUUUGUUUGGAAUAAUAAAAUCUCCAGUCACUGUUCGAUAAUGAUAACACUACCAGGACCAGGACCACCACCGUACAGCUGCACCAAUAUCGCGAAACGUCAACGCGAAAAUUGACGCGAAACCCCCAAAUUUUUUGGAAAACAUCGACCACACAUUUUUGAGAAAAUCGCAGGAGUGCCCAGUACAGCUCAGUUGGCCUCUCUACGAUCUACGGGGCGACCAGAUAACCGUCCCGAGAGCAACGAAGCAGACGAUUCCGGAUUCACAGACGACACGCACGUCGUCCGUACAAGCAACACAACCGCACGAUCUACCCACCCUGAUGAACAGCCGCGCGCGCGGCGCGAGACUUCAGACGAGACUUCGCUGGAGUACCGAACGAGCCUAGUAGAAGCUGCCGGAUAAGGUUCAGGGGGAGGUCGGAGGAAGGAGUGAAGUCGGUGAACGGAGCUACCAUGGAACUCGCAGCACAGCUCACCGCUGAACUUCCAACAGGAAUCGUGAUUCGCA